ACCCUCUAGAUUCCUUACUCCUCAGAUCGAAACAUUGUUCUGAGUGUGGACAAAAGGAGGACAAGUAAACUGAAGUGGACUUAGCGUCCUCGACGUCAUACACGU
Molecule: small nucleolar RNA, 105 nt
Filed under: Echinops telfairi (small Madagascar hedgehog)
Lineage: Eukaryota; Metazoa; Chordata; Mammalia; Afrosoricida; Tenrecidae
Description: Small nucleolar RNA SNORA61 (ENSETEG00000026525.1)
Source: RNAcentral